Molecule: long non-coding RNA, 997 nt
Organism: Tripterygium wilfordii
Lineage: Eukaryota; Viridiplantae; Streptophyta; Magnoliopsida; Celastrales; Celastraceae
Exons: 2
Source: RefSeq, a predicted model, not a curated record
UAAGCAUGCUAAAGGAUCUAAGAGAUGAAGCAAUGUCAAGACAUGUAAUUAUUAGAGAGAAAAUGGAGAGAUGUAGAACAACAGUGGUUCCAACAUGUCAUUCAAAACUAAAAAUUGAGACAAAAAGAGCACUUCAUGGCGUGCACAAUGGUUAGAGGAUUCAGAACAUUCUAUCUUUCAGGUGAUAUGUAGGCCUGAACAAUAUGUGGUUAAUGUGAAGAAUGCAACAUGCACCUGUAGAGUGUGUGAUCUUACUGGAAUCCCUUGUUGCCAUACCAUUGUAGCAUUUGGAUUUCUGCAUAAAGAUCCUGAAGACUUUGUCCAUCCAGCUUUAAAGAAGGAAACAAUACUAAAGGUAUAUGGACACAAUGUCAUGCCUACCAGUGGAUCCACUUUGUGGCCUAGGGUGACUGGUGAUGUGGUUCUCCCACCAAAAGCGAAGGUUGUGAUUGGGAGAGCAAAGAAAAAAUGAAGACUAGAGCAUGAUGAGCCAAAGACAACGAGCAAGCUGUGAAGGAGGUAUCCAAAACUAAAGUGUACAAAAUGUGGAAAUGAAGGGCAUAAUAGAAGGACUUGUGGCAGACAACAGAAUCAGAAUAAUGCUGGAGUUGGAACAUCUGCCUCUGCUGCUAUUACUGGAGGUGGCAGCUCUGCCUCUGCUAGAAGAAUUCAUACUGCUGGAACAACUGCUCCAGUUAGGUCAAAGAUGGCAGUGAGAAGAUCCACAACUACUGAUACCUUGAGAGCUGCAACCUUAGGUUCAAGAUACGCAUCCAUGCUCAAAGGAACGCAAGAAUCAACCAAUCGUGGUUCGAGGGACGCUUGAAACUGUGUCUUGAUGACUUUGAGUAUGUUAGUAAGAACUACUAAGUUGUUUUUGUGAGAUUUUGGGUAUUCCUACCUGUAAACUCUAUUGAUGGAUGAAUGUUUUAGCUGACUUAUUAAUUUAGUAUUUAUGGAAUGCUGCUAAUAUUAAUUAUAAGUGAUUGUUUUGAUA